GCGAAAACUUUACAAUGCUGGCAACAGCGAUAAGGGAACCUCGAGUGCCAGGUUACAAAUCUGGCUGUCGAGAUGCCUAAAAAGCAUUUCAUAGCAAGGGCCGGGCAAGACCGGUGCCAGCCGCCGCGGUAACACCGGCGGCUCGAGUGGUAACCGUUAUUAUUGGGUCUAAAGGGUCUGUAGCCGGCCGGAUAAGUCUCUUGAGAAAUCUGGCAGCUUAACUGUCAGGCUUUCAGGAGAGACUGUCUGGCUCGAGGCCGGGAGGGGUGAGAGGUACUUCAGGGGUAGGGGUGAAAUCUUGUAAUCCUUGAAGGACCACCAGUGGCGAAGGCGUCUCACCAGAACGGACCUGACGGCAAGGGACGAAAGCUAGGGGCACGAACC
This 384-nucleotide ribosomal RNA is filed under the name uncultured prokaryote. Its description in RNAcentral is "bacterial SSU rRNA". It matches the Rfam family "Archaeal small subunit ribosomal RNA", at positions 341 to 725 of the family's 1478-position model. The record is from RNAcentral.